RNAcentral lists this ribosomal RNA (1460 nucleotides) under uncultured bacterium. Its description in RNAcentral is "partial 16S ribosomal RNA". It matches the Rfam family "Bacterial small subunit ribosomal RNA". The record is from RNAcentral.
AGAGUUUGAUCCUGGCUCAGGAUGAAUGCUGGCGGCGUGCCUAACACAUGCAAGUCGAGCGGCAGCGAAGGGUGCUUGCACCCUGUCGGCGAGCGGCGGACGGCUGAGUAACGCGUGGGAAUCUACCCUAAAGUGAGGGAUAACCGCCCGAAAGGGUGGCUAAUACCGCAUAUGAUCUUCGGAUUAAAGGAUUUAUCCGCUUUAGGAAGAGCCCGCGUUAGAUUAGGUAGUUGGUAGGGUAAUGGCCUACCAAGCCAACGAUCUAUAGCUGGUCUGAGAGGAUGAUCAGCCAGACUGGAACUGAGACACGGCCCUUACUCCUACGGGAGGCAGCAGUGGGGAAUAUUGGACAAUGGACCAAGAGUCUGAUCCAGCAAUUCUGUGUGCACGAUGACGUUUUUCGGAAUGUAAAGUGCUUUCAGUUGGGAAGAAAAAAAUGACGGUACCAACAGAAGAAGUGACGGCUAAAUACGUGCCAGCAGCCGCGGUAAUACGUAUUUCACAAAGCGUUAUCCGGAUUUAUUGGGCGUAAAGCGCGUCUAAGGUGGUUAUGUAAGUCUGAUGUGAAAAUGCAGGGCUCAACUCUGUAUUGCGUUGGGAAACUGUGUAACUAGAGUACUGGAGAGGUAAGCGGAACUACAAGUGUAGAGGUGAAAUUCGUAGAUAUUUGUAGGAAUGCCGAUGGGGAAGCCAGCUUACUGGACAGAUACUGACGCUAAAGCGCGAAAGCGUGGGUAGCAAACAGGAUUAGAUACCCUGGUAGUCCACGCCGUAAAACGAUGAUUACUAGGUGUUGGGGGUCGAACCUCAGCGCCCAAGCAAACGCGAUAAGUAAUCCGGCUUGGGGAGUACGUACGCAAGUAUGAAACUCAAAGGAAUUGACGGGGACCCGCACAAGCGGAGGAACAUGUGGUUUAAUUCGAUGAUACGCGAGGAACCUUACCCGGGCUUGAACUGCGGCGGAACGAUUCCGAGAGGAUGAGGCCCUUCGGGGCUGCCGCGGAGGUGCUGCAUGGUUGUCGUCAGCUCGUGCCGUGAGGUGUCGGCUUAAGUGCCAUAACGAGCGCAACCCCCGUCUUCAGUUGCCAUCGGGUUAUGCCGGGCACUCUGGAGAUACUGCCACCGCAAGGUGUGAGGAAGGUGGGGAUGACGUCAAAUCAGCACGGCCCUUACGUCCGGGGCUACACACGUGUUACAAUGGCGCAUACAGAGAGUAGGUGGCAUGCGAAUGCCAUCCAAUCCUUAAAGUGCGUCUCAGUUCGGACUGGGGUCUGCAACCCGACCCCACGAAGCUGGAUUCGCUAGUAAUCGCGCAUCAGCCAUGGCGCGGUGAAUACGUUCCCGGGCCUUGUACACACCGCCCGUCAAGCCAUGAAAGCCGGGGGCGCCUGAAGUCCGUGACCGCGAGGGUCGGCCUAGGGUGAAACCGGUGAUUGGGGCUAAGUCGUAACAAGGUAACC